UACGUAGGCUGCAAGCGUUAAUCGGAAUUACUGGGCGUACAGCGUGCGCAGGCGGUUUUGUAAGUCUGUCGUGAAAUCCCCGGGCUCAACCUGGGAAUUGCGAUGGAGACUGCAAGGCUAGAAUCUGGCAGAGGGGGGUAGAAUUCCACGUGUAGCAGUGAAAUGCGUAGAGAUGUGGAGGAACACCGAUGGCGAAGGCAGCCCCCUGGGUCAAGAUUGACGCUCAUGCACGAAAGCGUGGGGAGCAAACAGG
RNAcentral lists this ribosomal RNA (253 nucleotides) under uncultured bacterium. Its description in RNAcentral is "partial 16S ribosomal RNA". It matches the Rfam family "Bacterial small subunit ribosomal RNA", at positions 524 to 776 of the family's 1533-position model. The record is from RNAcentral.